CUUGCAGCCACAUCAUCAUUGAAACACCGGUUCCUGUACGAUCGUCGAGGUUAAGCAACGUCGAGCCUGGUGAGUAAAUAGGUGACCGCUUGGGAAAACUAGCUGUUGUA
RNAcentral lists this ribosomal RNA (110 nucleotides) under Acanthosepion pharaonis. Lineage: Eukaryota; Metazoa; Mollusca; Cephalopoda; Sepiida; Sepiidae. The record is from RNAcentral.